GGCGAACGGGUGAGUAACACGUGGGCAAUCUGCCCUUCACUCUGGGACAAGCCCUGGAAACGGGGUCUAAUACCGGAUAUGAGUCCCUGCCGCAUGGUGGGGGCUGUAAAGCUCCGGCGGUGAAGGAUGAGCCCGCGGCCUAUCAGCUUGUUGGUGAGGUAAUGGCUCACCAAGGCGACGACGGGUAGCCGGCCUGAGAGGGCGACCGGCCACACUGGGACUGAGACACGGCCCAGACUCCUACGGGAGGCAGCAGUGGGGAAUAUUGCACAAUGGGCGCAAGCCUGAUGCAGCGACGCCGCGUGGGGGAUGACGGCCUUCGGGUUGUAAACCCCUUUCAGCAGGGAAGAAGCGCAAGUGACGGUACCUGCAGAAGAAGCGCCGGCUAACUACGUGCCAGCAGCCGCGGUAAUACGUAGGGCGCAAGCGUUGUCCGGAAUUAUUGGGCGUAAAGAGCUCGUAGGCGGCUUGUCGCGUCGGUUGUGAAAGCCCGGGGCUUAACCCCGGGUCUGCAGUCGAUACGGGCAGGCUAGAGUUCGGUAGGGGAGAUCGGAAUUCCUGGUGUAGCGGUGAAAUGCGCAGAUAUCAGGAGGAACACCGGUGGCGAAGGCGGAUCUCUGGGCCGAUACUGACGCUGAGGA
Molecule: ribosomal RNA, 641 nt
Filed under: Streptomyces sp. I12A-02962
Lineage: Bacteria; Bacillati; Actinomycetota; Actinomycetes; Kitasatosporales; Streptomycetaceae
Description: bacterial SSU rRNA
Rfam family: Bacterial small subunit ribosomal RNA
Source: RNAcentral